UAUGGUUUUGUACAGCUUGGUCAAGAAGGCCAGAGAUAUCACCACCUCUUUGGAUCAUCUGACCCAGUACUGAACUAUCUUUCUACCAAGUUUUUCCAAAUGCCCAACUUGAUUGCUCUGACCAUCAAAUUCUGUCUGUUUCCCUUGGUCAUAUUAUGCAUCUCAUAAUACUAAAAGGAAUGUGGUCAUGAUCUCUGCAAUUAACCUCCAAGUAGGCUGUCCUUACAGUGUCCCUUACCCUUCUCUUUGCCAGCCUCAGUUGCUGCUAACAAGAAUAGAAGAACUGGUGGCAGUGCUGGCAAUUCAGGGCAGCCCUGCCUGCAACAGCCAUGAGAUGCUGGAGGUCAGGGUGCAGAGGAAGGCUGGAGGGUGAGGAGCAGAGCUGGGACCAGGCUUUGGGUGAGAAAAUGGAGGCUUAUUCAGGGAUCACCAGGCAUGAUUCCCUGGGGAGAUGCUGUGAAGGACAAGCCCAGGACAGCAGUCUGGUUUCUAAAGGAAAUGGUAACAGAUCCCACUUCAGCACCCCAAGUGUUCUUCCGCUGUGCUCUCCACCCUGUGUGGUACUGAGCUAGAGGCUCACUUCCAGUUUCAUACUGUGAAGUGAAGUGAAAGAGCUCCUUAGCACACAGUCUGACUGCUUCUCCUGUUCUUCCCUGCCCUGGUCAGCUUGUGCUCAUCCAGAACUAUGCUUCAGUUGCAGGUGCAGCAUCGUACCAUGUCGCCACCAUCCCAGUCUUGUUGUAGCCCUGCCACUCUGCCUGGACUUGUGAGUCCUUCUAUUGUCCAGGCUUUGCAAAAGAGCUCUGUACAAGCAGCAGAAGAAAGCCUCUGAAUGAACUUCCCUUCUGAGCAGGAAUGCAAAAGUCCAUCUGGGGGCCUUCUCCCUUGCAUAUCUCUUCUGUUUGCAGCUUCUCUUUCAUCUCUGGGCUUCAGCCCCUGCUUCCAGAUGAACGCAGUUUAAAGAUCGCAGCAGUUCAACAAACACGGCCAUGAAGUUCUCUCUCUCUCUUGGUCCAAUGUGUCCCCUCCCUUCUCAGCAGUCCUUGCUCAUAGUCGGAGAAGACAACAUGGUGAAAGAAGCUGAAUCCUUGCUAGCAAUUGCGGCUGUGCAGUCAGACACUGGUCUGUCAGUUGUGCCUGCUCCUUGCAGGGCCUCCCCCUGUGACUGUGAGUAUUACCAAGAACAAGACUUGGGCUCCCCAUCCCAUUACCCUUCCUCCUGAGGAGGACUUGUCACCUUUAAUCUGCUCAGGGAUUUCUGUGUCUGUGUGACUGGUAUCCCUGUGGAUGUGCAACAAAGAGCAGCAGUCACUCAUCUGCCUGGGCCUUGGCAAUCUCUCUACACUAUCAUGGAUCUGAGCUCCAGGCAAAGCUGCUCCAGCACCAAAUCUUCUGGAAUGACAGGUCUGGCUGGCAAAGAAGUGCUGCUUCUUCCUACAGAAGGUGGUCACUGGUCACUAACACUUGAAAAAUUAUUCUGAUAGUGUCUGCCCUAAUUUGAAAAUAGAGGUGUCCAGCCCUGAACCUCCCCCCAUCAGGACUUGUUCCUCUUCUCUUGCAAGUAGACGUGGGAAUAAAGCCUUCCUCCUGGUGACUGAAGUAAUGAGUUUCCAGCUUCUCUUGUCUUGAGAGUUUGUGUCCUUUCUCACUUUGGUCAUGUCAACUUUUUUUGUUCUCUGUUUUCUAGGAAGCAGGAAGCUGGACAUAUGUUUGCUCUGCCUGUCUGCAGGGUCCCUUGCUUGGCAGGGCAACCCUUGUGCUACGUCUGUCUUCCCGGCUCAGUUCACUUGUAAAUAUCAGAAUCACCUCAUGCUGCUCCUCCCAUGUUGUUGACUAGGAAAAAGGAGAACUUUACACUUCCUCCAACUCUCCGUGAAAUCUCUGUGCAUUUCCUUCUGUGCAGACUAAAGGAAAUAAAUACCCAUUCCAUGCUUGAUCUGUUCCCUUCCUCCCAUGCAGGUAGAUUGCAAGAAUUAGAGAAGGAGAGGACUUGAGAAACACUCCGCUGGAACACUAGUAGACAUAGGGAGUCGUGUAAGCGCAACCUGGACUAUGAAUGAAGAAAUUGGGUGUCAGCGCUGAUUCUGAAAGUUCCAGAGCCUGAAAUGACUCACAAAAACAUGGGAUAAGGAGAGAGGAGCAGGGGCAGUGUGGUUGACCUGUGAUUGGUAUUUGUUGAUACUCCAAACAAUGCAUACAGUAGGGACUUGAAUGACUGUUUAAAAAAUAAGCUGCUGCCCUUGGAAGUAACUAAAAAGCUGGUACUGUGGGAUUUGAUGUUUACUGUCUACCUUCAGAGGAAAAUGGAACCACAAGUGACAGGGAAAUACCAUGAUGCAAUGCCAGCUUCUUACAAGAUGGAUUGGAUUGCCAGAUUGACAGUGCAUUAGGAAAAAAAUUCAAUCAAACCUGUCAGAUGCAUAGAAGAGAUGUAAUUUCUAGGUCUCAGCCGUUUUCUGACUCAGACACUUACUGUGCACUUUCCCACAUGCAGGCAUGACCUGGGACAUGACUACAUGAAGCUGUUGUUCUUGGCUUGUAGUUCCUAGCUAUUAACUGCGGGAUCUUCUGUAUGCUUGAAGAUGUAUGCACUCCAGCCUGAAGUUCCAGUCCCAGUGAGGACAAGGGUAGUGAAUAAUGCAACUAGUAGGCAGUCUCUUUAAAGUCUUGUUUUUCAGAGCAAAAUCACUACUGGUAAAAAAUACCUUUUGAAAGCCAAAAAAAAUCAUGGCCAUUUUUAAGGUGCCCAUCUGCCCCUUGUGUGAGGGACCUUGGAAGAACCACUUCCUUCUGGGUGUUCCCACAAAGCCUCCCCUUGUCAUCUUGACUCCUUGCAACAGCUUUUGAUCUGUCCUGGGCAUUCCUCAGUGACUCACCGCCAUUUAAUCAGGAUUAAGAUGUUUUUAAUUGUUUAUAAUCCUUUUGACCUUCUGUCUCAGCUAAGAACCUGGAAGCGUGGGGUCGCACUUCAAGCAGAAGCUGUGGUGGCUUAGGGCAAAACAAGGUUUGUAAGCAGAGGUAAUAUUUUUUUAUUGCACCAAUUGCUGUGGUUGGAGGAAAUAGAUAGCUUUCAGGAGUGCAAGACCUUGUGGAGGUCUGAAAUGAAAGCUGCAAACUUCAAAGAUAAAUGUAGGUAGAGAGCAAUUACUCUGAACUUAAUUUCUUUAUGUUAGCAAGUUAGAUUACCAAAAAGAAAAGGCAGCUGGUAUCUUCGAAACAGAGACAGUGUGCUAGCAGAGGGAGAGGUGCUAAAUUGUUAGCUCAAAAAAUAAUUAAUAAAUCACAAUAAAUAAAAUAACAAUAAAUAAAAUAACAAUGUAACAAUAAAAAUAUAAAUAAAUAAAUAAUAAAUAACAAUAAUAAAUUGUUAGCUCUACUUUCUGAGGUUAUUCCAGGUGCAUAGUAGCCUCCUAGAGGGUGGAACCAUCAGUAACCAUUUGAUUAAGAAUCACCACUCCAAGUAUGCUGUAGGAGUUGUGUAUUAGAGUUCUAGAAAAACCUGGAAAAUAAUUUCCUUUAUCUAACCACUCCAACAUGAUGAACGAAAAUGGGAAGAAGACUAAAAUGAAGUGCCUCUGAAGUUUUCCCAACUGUUUUGCAAGACUCUAAAAUGCUGUAAAAAUAACCAUGACAGGCGCUGAACACAAGAACCGACUAACACAACAACAGCUGCCUCAGCCUCUACCUGACAAAAGAGGCAUUCAAACACCUUCAGUCGAAGAAAAAUCUGCUAACCUAAUGUGAACUGUCUGCUCCAAAAGCCCAAAUGUCUCCCUGGAGGAACAAUCAGAUGACAUAUUUGUACGCAGGGAAUUAGAAUGACUUUGCUGACUCUUUUCUUUAUACUUCUCCCUUAACGAGCCUGAAGUUAAUUCCAGUUCCACUCUUUCUAUGGUAGCUUCAGGAAGAAGACAAGGAAACAUGUUGGAUUUGAAGUCCUAAGACAAAAGCCCUCUUGGACCACUAUAUUGACUACUUCAGGAAAAGAGCCAGAAGAGAAACAACAAACCAGUUGUUAUUCAGUUUUUUCCUGUCUCACAAAGAAAUUCUAUCCUAAAUCACAAGUAGUACAAACAUGCAACUAGUGACAGUAUGACUAAGGAAGUUAAGGAAGACUCUGUGCAGAAAACAUGUAUUCUCCACUAUGAACCACUUAUUGACCAUAGCUACCUCCCCACUAUAUUACCGUCAUGUCCACUGGGAAUGUCCUCAGCCUGUCCACUGUGUCCAACCUCCUGUGCUCCAGCUCAAACAAAUCAAAAAGUCAUCUAGCUCAUCCUCACCCUGUGCAGCUUCAUUUAAGUCAAUGUUCUUCAGACAAUGGGUAUAGCAUAAGCAUAAACAUAAGUAUAUGAUAUUUUGACUUUAUCAUGAACUACCUCAAAAAAAAUAGGGAAAUGCAAAGAAAAAUAGAAUUUUAUUCCAAGUUUUUAUAUCACUAAGCCUGUGCUCUAUCUUAUAUGAUUAAGUGAAAGCUUUAUCACUUACAGUGAAAUAUGAAUCUCCUAAUUGAUUUUUAUCAAAUUCAAUAGCAGGUGUCCCUCCAUCAAACUCUCUUGAACAUCACUGCACUGAAAUCACCUUAGAUAACCUGAUCAGUAUUAAACUGCAGUUUACCAAUUGUGAAAGAUAAAUAUGCUUGUCUGAAGAAAAUCAGCCACCAUUCAAAAGAUCAGGGUUUUUGAGACCUAUUUGUUCUGAAGAGAUCACUCAUGGAGAUCACUUUAAUUCCUAGAUAUCUUUAGUGCAUAGGUGUCCUCUCCUGGGCAGCUGGAUGGCACCUGUGAAUUAAAAGGACCAAAAAUACUGUCAAGCACUAUGUUACUAGCCUAAUAUGGGACCUAUAAAAACAAUCAUUGACAACAUACGGUAUCCUAAACCGAAAGAAAUUUUGUCAGAACCAGAAGUCCUACCUUUCAGAUAGCUCCAGCCCCAGAAACAAAUACUCAGGGCUAGUGUGUAUCAAAAAGACUGAAACUGCAUCUAAGCAGGAAACAUUGAAUUUGUAAUAUCUUCUCACAAAAACAAUCAUCCUUGGAGUCUUUACAUGACAUUUCUGCAGCCCAUUCACUGGGCCACAUGCCCUCCUGGACACAAAAGCUAAGACUAAACAACUGUGAUGCAUCAGAAUGAGCUCACUGUCCUGGUUUUGUUAAAAACCAAGUUUCUCUUUUAGUGAAUUUUGCCUGUCAGCUAAAAGUUCAUAUUAGCUGCAUUUUCCUGGAGAACCAGAUACAUGUUUUGGUAAACAUAGCAAUGGAAUGCAAAGUUAUUGAUAAGCAUGGGUGGACAUCUCGCGAGAGGGGCAACGAGAAACAGGUGACCAAGAAACUGACCAACUGUGUAUAACAUUCCAUUCACGUGAAUACUUCAUAUAAAAGUGGGACAUCAUGAGGAUCUCGUCCCUUCUUUUCCCUUCUGUUUAUGGCUGACAUUAGGAGAGGACCUUGCUAGUCAUCCCUGCGAACUGAGGCCUAGUGACAGCCUGAAUCCAGCUCCAGAGUCCAACCCAGGACUUCGUGUGCCGGCUCUGCAGUUGCUGAGACUUUCAAGAUUGGUUUUGUAUAUUUUGUAUUAUUUUCUUUAUUUUUAUUAGUAGCAUUAGUAAGACAUUUUAAAUUUUUCCAACUCUCUUCUCUCUGUCCUUCUUUCCCUCCCGAUUGUCUGUGCUUAGUGGGAAGCAGGGAGAGGGAUGGGCAAAAGGGGGAAGCGGGGGAGAGGAGGUUAACAAUACAUCUGCCAGGGUUUUAUUGUCACCCCGCAACCAAGGCCAUCGACACUCACACAGUCAGUGAUGGACAGAAACAUCUUCAGUGGGAGAGAAUUCUUUCAAUGCAGCUGCACCAUCUCUGAGAUUUUUGAUGUUAUUCACACAGAGACACAAUGAGACACCUGCAAAACAGGAGUAAAAUACUAGAAAAUAUCUCUCUUACAAAUACUAAGAUAUUAAAACCUCUUUUGAGAUGUGUUCUCAUUUAACACCCUCCACCCCAAACUAACCUCUCUAUCCUUGAAGAAGGAUAAAUAUAUUUCUCACUUUUUUUUUUUUUCAGACUAUUUGACAAGCUUAUUGUCUCCACAGGUACUUACUAUUUUUUGUUUGUUUGAUUGUUUGUUUCAGACAGCCUGAUAGGUUAAUUUCAGCUUUUGCAGCUGCUGUUUCUAUUUCAGACCUGAAGAGGGGCUUGCGUGUCCAAUCACUUGUCUGUUUUUUCCAGCUUUAACAAACUGGUCUAAUGAAACAUUUCCCUUCUCCCACAAACUUUGCUUUACUUCUGCUCUUAGGUCAUCAUGGCUACACAACCACUUCUGCAACAUUCACCAAAAAAUGGUUCGAUCUCUGUAUUCAUGAUAUUCUUACAUUUUAGCUCCAUGUCUGUCAUGCAGAUUGAACUCCUAAACUCAAUUAUUUAUGAAAUUACUGCCAGACUUGUGGGCUUCUGCAAUCACUGCCUGUAAUAUUUGGGUUUAGCGUGCAUAGGAUCUUGAAUGUUUUGGAGCCAUCUCUUUGCUUGGGGUAGUGCUGCACCGCCCUCGGGCUGAAGUGCGGCUCUGCCAGUUGACAGUGGUACCUGGCAGCAGGUUGGGAAUCUCUGCCCUCAUAGCAGCCUGGGAAGCCAAACUCUCUUGGUGCCUUCUGGAGCCAGCAGCUGUCAGAAACAUGUUCAUUGCAGAACUAAUGAGAAAUUAAUAAGAUCUGGCAUUUAUUUAGUGCUUUCCUAGGUCACAAACACUAUGUCUGUAUUAAGUCGGUAAAACUGUUAUGAUUUCUGAAAUGGGAAAAAAAAAAAAAAGCAUAAUGCAGCCAGAAUGUAAAAAAAUAAAGAUCAUGAAAUUGCUAGCUUUUUACCCAAAUGCCUUGAUUUUCAGAAAUAAUAAUUCAUACCGCCCACUGAUUUUGCUGUUUAGAUGUGAAAGUCAGUACAAGUUGCAGGUGCUCAGCACCUCUGAAGAUCAGGCCACCCGCCUAGCUGAUUAAUUGCGGGGGGUGCUUUUGGUAGGGGCAGCAGGUUGCAUCUUGUUAAAGUUCCUGAUUUUGACAAUGUGGGCCAGUUACAUUUCAGUAACAGUUUAUGGAAUGAACUGCUUCUCAUUCCAAUGUUAAUUUGUAGGAUCACAUUACUUCUCAAAACAAGAUUUUAUUUUCCUGAAGAGUUAUGAACACAAGCUUAGUCAAAUCAAUUAACAUACUGUUCCCUGUGCACGCACAAGAGCCGAAAAUCCCUUACAUCCCAGAGGUUUUUCUAAUUACAUAAAACUAGGUUUCAGGAACCAUAAAGCCACGUGAUCCAUGUGAAACUGAGUAAGGGAGUGUGUGCAUCUCACACAUGAGUAGGGAUACCAUAUCCUCACUUAGUGCAAGCUCAUAGCUCCUGGUGACUUCUGUCCCUCUUUCUGGGGACACUGAACCUUACCCCCUUCUUCCUUGAAAUGGCUGUCUGGUAGCAACAUUAAUUUCACAUUCCAGAGAAGGAAAAUACUUCUGCAGUUCAAAAGCAAAUAGCCAAGAAAACUGGGAGACAGGUCUAUAUCUGUUAACCCUGCUGUCUGGCAGUGAGGGUUCUCUGCCAGCCAGUCUGGUCCUAGGAGCAAACAGAAUGGGACAGAGAUUUAUUCCGCAGAAGGAGUUUCCAGUUCGUCACUCUGAUUCAGGCAGUCUCUGAGUUCUGUGGUGUGGAGAGUACAAUGCAAAUUUGAUGAGGUUUGUUUAGCUUUUGAUGGAUGUGGUUUUUAUUUUGGAUUUUUAUUAUUAUUAUUUUUUUAAUUCUAGUUAAUUUGACUGUCAAGUUUUUCAAUAACAGCAAUUUAACUUCUGUUACCUGUUGUGGGUGGCUUAUGUAAUGUUAAUUUCUUACUUUCGUGCAAAGCAUCCAACUGCCAAGAUCAUAAGCAUUAUAUAAAUGAUAUAAAUUAAAUAAUUAAAUGAGAAGCUUUUCAAAGACUGAAAGGAAAUUCAGAGCUUUGUUAUACCUUAAGAAAAAGCAGAAUGACAGGAAAAAAAGCUUUUAGGAUAUUAUUUCAUUUCAAAGCAAAUUCCAUGCAAAUACUUUCUCCUUCUGGGAGCAUGCAGAUGUCCCCACCAAAGUCAUGGCCCCUUGUUGCUAGGCUACGUAUAUACAAGAAGAGAAAGACAAGACCUGCUUUAAAAAGCUGUCUGCACCCCAGGAAGAAUUAUCAUCCCUUCUGUACAUUGGGAAGUCAAAUGGUUUGUGCAGCAUCGGUAAUCAGUUCCUGAGCCAUGAGUUGACCCCUGCCUUGUGUGCUGUCACUCACAGCUUGUUCUUCCACAUGCUCUCCCUGCUUACGCACAUCUUCUUCUUCCUUUAAAGGAAACAUACAAACUGAAGUCAGACCUGAGUCCUUUUGUAUUGCAGGACUGCAAGAAGUUUCGAGAUUUUCUGAAGUUUUGGAUUUUGAGACAAAAAGUGUGCCACUCUUCAAUUGAUUUUGCUGUCACAUAAAAAGGGUGCAGAAUCAAUGGUAGUUAUGACAAUUCCAACUCUGGGGUCUCUGAGAGCUUGUAAACUGACUGUAGUUUUUUAAACACUCCUGCAGCCAAUUCUUCUGGCCACACAAAGGUAUCCAGCAUGUUUUACGGAUGGCACUGCUCCUUAACAGAUCUUUACAUGCUAGAACACAGUAGGAUUUGGAGGAAGAAACCAAAGAGUAAACAAAUCCCACUGUUUCCAGAUGGCAUGGCUUAAGACUGUGAUCUCCAUCUUGUCAAAUCUCAUUUAUUUACUUUAGUUUAAUGUUAAAGCAGAUACGUAUUUAAGAAUUCCACAUUUAUGUAAAAAAGGAAGGAAAAGUGGUGUUUGGAAGAAUUACACCACCCUAUCUUAAGCAUGUGAAAGAUCCACUAGUAGCUAUAACAAUAUAGAUAGGGUGAAUUAACUCACUACAAAUGAAGAGAUAUUUCAUGUAAAAGGACAUAUAUAGCAGAGGAAAAACAUAUCAAUAGAAGGCAGCCAGAUAUAAAACAUGAUGGAAUGUCUUGAUUGCAGUCUUUAUGGACCUCAGCUAUUAACCGUGCUCUAUAACAGUGCAAAUACCUUUCCUGCAAAACUGUAAAUCAGUCUUGUGCCAUUAGAGGAAAUAUUAUGUGGUAUUU
Molecule: long non-coding RNA, 9112 nt
Organism: Columba livia (rock pigeon)
Lineage: Eukaryota; Metazoa; Chordata; Aves; Columbiformes; Columbidae
Exons: 5
Source: RefSeq, a predicted model, not a curated record